CCUUGUGUAGCUCAAUGGGAGAGCCCCGGGAUGUGACCCCGGCGACCACGGAUCGUAACCGUGCAUAGGGAC
This 72-nucleotide transfer RNA is filed under the name Mycobacteroides abscessus subsp. abscessus. Its description in RNAcentral is "tRNA-His(gtg)". It matches the Rfam family "tRNA". From Rfam's summary of the family: Transfer RNA (tRNA) molecules are approximately 80 nucleotides in length. The record is from RNAcentral. Lineage: Bacteria; Bacillati; Actinomycetota; Actinomycetes; Mycobacteriales; Mycobacteriaceae.